UUUGUGUUGUAGUCAGAGUUGUGGUGGGGGCUGGUCAUUUGUUUGUGUUAGCGGACUCCAUUUCUAACCAAAUGUUAGCUAUCGUUGCACACUAUCGGCCCUGUAGCGGAGCUGAAGAGAUUAAAGGCACUCGCAAGUCACAUCCGCUGAUAGAGGAAACCCAGAAAGUCGCAGAAGGUUUCAUUUUUUAGGUUAGGU
Long non-coding RNA from Sebastes umbrosus (honeycomb rockfish), 198 nucleotides. RefSeq lists it as uncharacterized. The record is from RefSeq and is a predicted model, not a curated record. The transcript has 3 exons. NCBI's taxonomy places the organism in Eukaryota, Metazoa, Chordata, Actinopteri, Perciformes, Sebastidae.